RNAcentral lists this long non-coding RNA (547 nucleotides) under Homo sapiens (human). RNAcentral describes it as "HSALNT0375919". Lineage: Eukaryota; Metazoa; Chordata; Mammalia; Primates; Hominidae. The record is from RNAcentral.
GGGAGCUGUAGACCGGAGCUGUUCCUAUUCGGCCAUCUUGGCUCCUCCCCCACCCCCGUAUUAUCUUAAAAAUUAGAUUGUUUUCUGCUGGUUGCUUUCUGAAAUUCUACUGGACCUAAUGCCAUUGGAAAUGGAUGGGGAGAAGGCCUGAUGAAAAUUACUGAGGAAGCCUCUUAGCCUAUGUGCUCUGAGAGUAGUGACACCUAGCAGUCGUUCAAAAGAUGAUCAAGAGGAGCAUGAAAAAAUCCCCUGAAUCCAUUGGCUUUCUUCCCUAUACUGACAACAGUUUACUUGUGUAAGAGAUGCAUGCCUCGACUCCGGACCCCUUCUUUCAUCUGCAAAAUCAGCAGCACCCUCACAUCAUCUCCUGUAACAAACUCUCUCUGUCUCCUCCAUAUAAGGUCACUGAUGGUUACAUUUAGGGUCCAUGAUAUAAGAAGAUGGAUGUCUAUUGCUUUUCUCUUGAUAUUCAUGGCACUGCUCCUCUCCAUCCAUAGGAUUAUCUUAUAGAUGAGGGUCUCAUCCUUUUGCCCAGGCUGGAGUACAG